CGCGUGGGUAACCUGCCUCAUACAGGGGGAUAACAGUUAGAAAUGACUGCUAAUACCGCAUAAGACCACGGUACCGCAUGGUACAGUGGUAAAAACUCCGGUGGUAUGAGAUGGACCCGCGUCUGAUUAGGUAGUUGGUGGGGUAACGGCCUACCAAGCCGACGAUCAGUAGCCGACCUGAGAGGGUGACCGGCCACAUUGGGACUGAGACACGGCCCAG
RNAcentral lists this ribosomal RNA (220 nucleotides) under uncultured bacterium. RNAcentral describes it as "partial 16S ribosomal RNA". It matches the Rfam family "Bacterial small subunit ribosomal RNA", at positions 114 to 334 of the family's 1533-position model. The record is from RNAcentral.